GACGAGCCACACGAACGUUAUUCGGAAUUACUGGGCUUAAAGGGUGCGUAGGCGGUGCGGAAAGUUGGGUGUGAAAUCCCUCGGCUCAACCGAGGAACUGCGCCCAAAACUACCGUACUUGAGGAAGAUAGAGGUGAGCGGAACUCACGGUGGAGCGGUGAAAUGCGUUGAUAUCGUGAGGAACACCCGUGGCGAAAGCGGCUCACUGGGUCUUUUCUGACGCUGAUGCACGAAAGCUAGGGGAGCAAACAGG
This 253-nucleotide ribosomal RNA is filed under the name uncultured bacterium. Its description in RNAcentral is "partial 16S ribosomal RNA". It matches the Rfam family "Bacterial small subunit ribosomal RNA", at positions 524 to 776 of the family's 1533-position model. The record is from RNAcentral.